GACGAACGCUGGCGGCGCGCCUAACACAUGCAAGUCGAACGGGGAAGUUAGCAAUAACUUCUUAGUGGCGAACGGGUGAGUAACGCGUGGACAACCAACCUUUUUAGUGGGGGACAACACUUCGAAAGGAGUGCUAAUACCGCAUAAUCUCUUUUGGCUGCAUGGUUGAAAGAGGAAAGGGGCAACUGCUCCGCUAAAAGACGGGUCCACGUCUGAUUAGCUAGUUGGAGGGGUAACGGCCCACCAAGGCGACGAUCAGUAGCCGGUCUGAGAGGAUGAACGGCCACACUGGGACUGAGACACGGCCCAGACUCCUACGGGAGGCAGCAGUGGGGAAUCUUCCGCAAUGGACGAAAGUCUGACGGAGCGACGCCGCGUGAGUGAUGAAGGCCUUCGGGUCGUAAAGGCUCUGUCAUCGGGGACGAAUGGUCGUUGGAGUGGAAAGCCAGCGAAUGACGGUACCCGAGAAGGAAGCCACGGCUAACUACGUGCCAGCAGCCGCGGUAAAAUCAACGUGUACG
Molecule: ribosomal RNA, 521 nt
Filed under: uncultured bacterium
Lineage: Bacteria
Description: bacterial SSU rRNA
Rfam family: Bacterial small subunit ribosomal RNA
Source: RNAcentral